AGAUAAUUAGUUUAAAGAAAACCUUUGAUUUCGACUCAAACACUUGUGGUUAAAGUCCAUAAUCAUCUA
RNAcentral lists this transfer RNA (69 nucleotides) under Nectoliparis pelagicus (tadpole snailfish). Its description in RNAcentral is "tRNA-Arg". It matches the Rfam family "tRNA". Rfam says of the family: Transfer RNA (tRNA) molecules are approximately 80 nucleotides in length. Their secondary structure includes four short double-helical elements and three loops (D, anti-codon, and T loops). Further hydrogen bonds mediate the characteristic L-shaped molecular structure. tRNAs have two regions of fundamental functional importance: the anti-codon, which is responsible for specific mRNA codon recognition, and the 3' end, to which the tRNAs corresponding amino acid is attached (by aminoacyl-tRNA synthetases). tRNAs cope with the degeneracy of the genetic code in two manners: having more than one tRNA (with a specific anti-codon) for a particular amino acid; and 'wobble' base-pairing, i.e. permitting non-standard base-pairing at the 3rd anti-codon position. The record is from RNAcentral. Lineage: Eukaryota; Metazoa; Chordata; Actinopteri; Perciformes; Liparidae.